GUAGCUUCCUUGUCGUGUGGCCUCAGUCCUUCGCCGUCCCUCGCCGUCCUUCGCCAUCGCACGCCACCGCACCCCAUCUCUCGAAAUCUGCAGACAUCUUGAUUUUUCCCACGCUGUCUGUCAGGUCUCCGCCGCCACUCGACGCCAGGGCGCCGGGCCUUGUGGGCUGUGCUGCACCUCGGACGGCUUCGCACCAGCCAGCGCCCUCUCUCUCCUGCAGCACUCUGAUCUGCACCCCCUGAGGGGCUUCCACUGUCCGCGGGGUGAGAAUGCCCCUGGGAGUGUCACAUGACUGCCGCCCCAUGUGUGUGAGAGGCGUCCUCUGGGAGAGCAUGGAUCCUGAGGUCCCAGGAACAUCCCGAGAGCCAAGUUCCCAGAUGCCAGCCAAGGGCCAUCUGACCUGUUUUGAAUCUCAAUUUCCUGAUACAGAAAACAAAGGAUUGUCAGCUGACCUCUGUCCUGUGUGCCCAGUGGCCCCAGGUGACGUGUCUUCAAGAAGAGGCUGAGCUGCGGUGCUUGUAAGGCAGGGUCUCAUUCUGUCACCCAGGCUGGAGUGCAGUGGUGCAAUGAUGGCUCACUGCAGCCUCGACCUGGGCUCAAGUGAUCCUCCACCUCAGCUUCCUGAGUAGCUGGGACCACAGAGUCAUGUGCUGUUCCUGGGGCUUGGAUGAUGUAGGGGAAGCAAGGUGAAAGUGGUAUCCCGUGGUUCCACGUUCUGUCCUGCUGUGGGGCUGUCCCUCACAUGCUUUCAGUGGCUGUUGCAGAGGAAGAGCCUCCGGAAAUCUGCGUGGGUCUCAGCCUUAGAUCCAAGGACAGUCCAAGGAAGUCCUAAGACCAUGGAGUUGGUGAUCUGGGAUCUGGGUUUGCUGAUAUUUCUCACCGUGAAUCUCUUGGUGGUGUUUGUGGGCACGAGAGGGGCAGAGAAUGGAGAGUGAGGCUACCACAUGAAGCGUCACCAGAGCUGCUCCCUGCUGCCUGCUCAGAGCACCCCGGAUCCACUGUUCAAUCUGCACAAGAUUCGGGGUCCAGACAUGGGAGACUUCAGCUGCCUCAGAGGACCGUGGACAGGGAAGGCCAGCCUCGCAUCCCUCUGUCCAUGCCUGGAAUGACUUUAAUAACCAAGAGUUUUAUUUUUGAAUUUGUAGCUGUCGUUCACUUUUUACCCACCCAUUCAAUAAACCUUACAGAAUUGC
Molecule: long non-coding RNA, 1193 nt
Filed under: Homo sapiens (human)
Lineage: Eukaryota; Metazoa; Chordata; Mammalia; Primates; Hominidae
Description: small nucleolar RNA host gene 17
Source: RNAcentral